Molecule: ribosomal RNA, 531 nt
Filed under: Microbacteriaceae bacterium Ri3Pt_4233
Lineage: Bacteria; Bacillati; Actinomycetota; Actinomycetes; Micrococcales; Microbacteriaceae
Description: bacterial SSU rRNA
Rfam family: Bacterial small subunit ribosomal RNA
Source: RNAcentral
GCAGGGAAGAAGCGAAAGUGACGGUACCUGCAGAAAAAGCGCCGGCAAACUACGUGCCAGCAGCCGCGGUAAUACGUAGGGCGCAAGCGUUAUCCGGAAUUAUUGGGCGUAAAGAGCUCGUAGGCGGUUUGUCACGUCUGCUGUGAAAUCCCGAGGCUCAACUUCGGGUCUGCAGUGGGUACGGGCAGACUAGAGUGCGGUAGGGGAGACGGAACCCUGGUGUAGCGGUGGAAUGCGCAGAUAUCAGGAGGAACACCGAUGGCGAAGGCAGACUCUGGGCCGUAACUGACGCUGAGGAGCGAAAGGGUGGGGAGCAAACAGGCCAGAUACCCUGGUAGUCCACCCCGUAAACGUUGGGAACUAGUUGUGGGGUCCAUCCACGGAUUCCGUGACGUAGCUAACGUAUUAAGUUCUCCGCCUGGGUAGUACGGCCGCAAGGCUAAAACUCAAAGGAAUUGACGGGGACCCGCACAAGCGGCGGAGCACGCGUUACAAUUCGAUGCAACGCGAAGAACCUUACCAAGGCUUGAC